CGGUAAUUCCAGCUCCAAUAGCGUAUACUAAAGUUGUUGCAGUUAAAAAGCUCGUAGUUGGAUUUCUGCGGGGACGGAGCGGCCGGUCGCAACUUGCGACUCGAGCUAGCGCUUUCCCCGCAUCCUGCCGCGAACCGUGCUACCAUUAGUUUGGUGGCGCUGGGGAUCGGCUCGAUUACUUUGAGAAAAAUAGAGUGUUCAAAGCAGGCCACACGCCUUGAAUAAGUUAGCAUGGAAUAAUGACUAAGGACUUUGGUUCUUUUCGUUGGUGUUCGGGACUGAAGUAAUGAUUGAUAGGGACAGUUGGGGCGGUCCGUAUUCCAAAGCGAGAGGUGAAAUUCUUAGACCUUCGGAAGACGAACAGCUGCGAAAGCGUUCCGCAAGGAUGUUCCCUUUAUCAGAUACCGUCGUAGUCUCAACUAUAAACUAUACCAGCUAGGGAUCGGCCAACGUUUAAUUAUUCGACUUGGUCGGCACCUUAUGAGAAAUCAAAGCAUCUGGGUUCCGGGGGGAGUAUGGUCGCAAGGCUGAAACUUAAAGGAAUUGACGGAAGGGCACCACCAGGCGUGGAGCCUGUGGCUUAAUUUGACUCAACACGGGAAAACUUACCAGGUCCAGACAUAGGAAGGAUUGACAGAUUGAUAGCUCUUUCUUGAUUCUGUGGGUGGUGGUGCAUGGCCGUUUUUAGUCGGUGAAGUGAUUUGUCUGCUUAAUUGCGUUAACGGACGAGACCCCAGCCUGCUAAAUAGCGCGGCCGAGCUUUGCUCGGUACGAGCUUCUUAGAGGGACCAUGAUGCGCGAUAGCACAAGGAAGUUUGAGGCAACAACAGGUCUGUGAUGCCCUUAGAUGUUCUGGGCCGCACACGGGCUACACUGGCGCCUGCAACGAGCAUAUCAGCUGGCCCGAGAGGGUCUUGGCUAAUCUUUGGAACCAGCGCCGUGCUUGGGAUUGACCAUUGCAAUUGUUGGUCAUGCAACGAGGAAUGCCUUGUAAACGCGAGUCAUCAGCUCGCAUUGAAUACGUCCCUGCCCUUUGUACACACCGCCCGUCGCUCCUACCGAUGAAUGUUCCGAUGAAAUUUUCGGAGAGCGCCGGAGAACGGGGCUCUGCCCUGCAGAACUGGAGGCUCAAAGUCACUUAAAUCUGAACAUUUCGAGGAAGGAGAAGUCGUAACAAGGUAACC
This 1184-nucleotide ribosomal RNA is filed under the name uncultured Rhizaria. RNAcentral describes it as "SSU rRNA". It matches the Rfam family "Eukaryotic small subunit ribosomal RNA", at positions 577 to 1804 of the family's 1831-position model. The record is from RNAcentral.